This 535-nucleotide long non-coding RNA is filed under the name Sparus aurata (gilthead seabream). RNAcentral describes it as "lncRNA (ENSSAUG00010021229.1)". Lineage: Eukaryota; Metazoa; Chordata; Actinopteri; Spariformes; Sparidae. The record is from RNAcentral.
AUGGUGCAAAAUACCCGAUACAAGUCAAAAAUAUCAAUUUGGGGAUUUUUCAAACCCUUGCAGGCGUCAAGACAACAUUGUCAGUGUUGGCUAUGUGAGAGACAAUGGAAACUGCCACCUUCAAACCUCCAAACCAGCCUUCCCAUCUCCGAAGGAAAACCGGAGACCUCCCCGCCCUGCCAAGCCUAAGGAUGGCGUGUAUGGCAACAUUUGAGUUCUUCAACAUACCUUAGAAACAUCAUAAGCUCCAAGGACCAUGUUGCUGUUGUCAUUUUACACACAUUAUUUACAAUACUUGUUUGAUUGUUUGUUUGUUAGUCUUGCAUUGAAACUAAAUAUUUUCUUCAAAGAAUAUAUGUAUAUAUCAGCUGUCACUUAGCUGAAUGUGUGCACCUGUUAAAUAAAUAUCAUAACACUGAAACUCUUUUGCCUGAGUGGUCUGGUGCAUUCAUACAAACUCAAAGUUUUUAUUAUUUUCCUUUUAAACACUUGAGAGGGCGAUAGCUGUCAAAAGAACAGCUACGAGUCUGCAACU